This is an RNA transcript of Dryobates pubescens (Downy woodpecker), 597 nucleotides long. It is a transcript of the gene named T cell leukemia translocation altered, with no coding region annotated. The transcript has 2 exons. NCBI's taxonomy places the organism in Eukaryota, Metazoa, Chordata, Aves, Piciformes, Picidae. The record is from RefSeq and is a predicted model, not a curated record.
CGGAGGCUCCGCCCCCCCCGGAAGGCCCGGCGGCGAAGCCAUGGCGGCGGUGGCGGCCGGCUGGCAAUUGCCGUGGCGGGGGCUUGUCGCGCUGGGCCGGGAGCUGGCGGCCGAAUGGGCAGCGCAGGACGUGCGGGCUGCGCUGUGCCAGCUGCUGCUGGUCUGGCUGAGCCUCAAUCUGCUGGGCAUCCACCUGGCCUGGCGCGUUUACGGCGAGGAGGUGGCCACGCUCUGCUACCGGACCGGGCCCGCCGGCCGCCGGUCCCCCGGUACCGGCCCCGGGCCAGCCCGGCCGCGCGCGCACUCCCUGUCCCCAGCCAGCCCCGCCCGACGCAACGGCGCCGCCGAGCGGCACUGCCCGCCCCGGUGAGUCCCGACCGCUACCGGACCUGAGCCGCUGCACCCUGCCUGCUCUGCUGCGACCCCUGCUACAGCCUGGCCUGACUAGCGCCUUCCCGGCUGCACACUUGGCCCGCUACACCGCUCUAGACCAGGAGGGCUCAACAGCGGAGCUAGCAAAGACGCACCGGGAGUGAGGAGCACCGGGAGUGAGGAGCACCGGGCCCAUCGGGCACUGCCUGCACCAUUAAAGCACUG